Molecule: long non-coding RNA, 248 nt
Filed under: Trifolium pratense (red clover)
Lineage: Eukaryota; Viridiplantae; Streptophyta; Magnoliopsida; Fabales; Fabaceae
Description: long non-coding RNA (TPRA_LNC000992)
Source: RNAcentral
CCCACACAUAUAUAUAUAUAUAUAAGUGUAAAAGUAAAAUUAGGUUUUUCACAAACCACAAACCAAAAUUGUGUUUGAAUUUUGUUUGAAAGUUGGAAGAACUUAAUUUUGGUUUAGUUGUAAUUUAAUUUCUUGAAAGACUAUUUUGUAAUUUUAAAUUCUCUUGUAAUUUUAAACCUAUGUUUUUGCUAAGUGAUUGACAAUAUGUUUAAAUUCCAUUGUUUUUGCUUAAAUUUACCUUGUUUUGC